AUGGCAGUCAGCUUAUUCUCCUUGUGGGCUGAUGAAGUGAGUGGCCUCCAAGGUGAGGGACCACAUGAUGGGAGAAUUUGCUGGAGAAAUCUGGAGACGUACAGAUUAAGGACAAGAUGGAUGCAAAAUAACCUUGAAGGAAAUUGGGGUUUGUCUUGUGGUUGGGAGCCUCCUCUCACCCAAUGUGUGAUACCGCUGGCUGCUCACCACCCUGUGCAUACAGUGUGCGACAUAGCGGUGGUAGAUCGAGCUGGUUUGAAAAGCCUGGUUUGUGUGUUUGGUGAUAGACCUGAGCUUUUGCUCAGGCAUUUCUGAGGUUUCCUAUGGAUUUUCUGCAGCUUGAAAUAUCCCUGCAUGACUCCCUUCCAAAAGACCUCCCCUCCAAAUAUGUAUCGUAGCAUGUUUGAUAUUGGCUCUGCUUGUGAACGCACCACCAAUAUUUUGAGCUAUGUCUUUGUUUCUCCAGCACAAUUUCCCAUUUGGGUACUGAAGUUAGGCUAAUGUGGAGUGCUUUAGAGAAUCUCACCAUACCAACUCUGGGUCUUUCUACAAUAAUGUAUGUGACAAAUUCAAUUGUUAAAAGCCCUGGGCUAUAUUUUCAACUAGCACUGUGCUAGCUGUUUUUAGGUUUAAUUAUUUCUGUGGCACUAAUGUUCUCUAAAAGUAGUACCGUUGUACCGUGAUGGUCUAAAGAGAUUAAGGGAGGGAGUUUUUAUGAGACCAGCCAGUAUAAAUGGUAAAAACAGAUGAGUUUUUAGGCACAAAAAGUAUCAAUUUGACCUUACAUUUAAAAGCCCCUUCACAUACCAUGUUUUCCUCAGACUCUCAUUACUUCUACUGAGAGCGAUGUUAGAUCAAUAACGUUCGCUUUUCCGGGAAUGCUUUUCUAAUACACAGAAUCUGAAUAUCAUCAAGCGAUUACAACUUACAGCUGAGGAAACUCAGGCCCAGAAGGGGCAGGUGGUGGGCAUGUGGGGGCUGAGUCAGUCAGACAUCUCAGCAGCACUUGUGCUGGGUUUUAGCUUUGAACAACCGUUGCCUCCUCCCUUUUCUCUAACAAACUUCUGACUUUUGUUGUCAGCUGGAAUCUUUUGUGCAUGUCACAGACUUCCUGUAAGUUCGAGUGAUGUGCCCUGCUUGAAUCCAGCCAUGGAGCCAUGAGUUGUUGCUGGUCCCAAAGGUACCAGGUACAUUUGUGAUCCACUUGCAGGGGGCUGUGUUCUCCCCCAGGGAGCAAGCUGCAGAAAAGUGUCAUAUUUAAUCUAAUGAAAGGAGCUUUUUAAGAAAUUCCAGCUGAAUGGGAAGCCAAUCCCUACUUAGUUUUCUACUCUAAUGGCAACUGUGGGCAAAGAUGUUUUUGUUUCUGUGAAUUUUCAUGUGAUUUCUUGUUUCUGUGCUACUGGUAGGAGACAGGCAGGGCCUGAGCUAUCAGUUCCUGCUGCUGAUGUUCCUCAGGAAAUCUCUCAGAAGUGAUUGUACCAGCUGGCAGGAAUAAGCCUUCAGGUGCCAUCACUCCAAUCGCCGUCCUUUAAACUGAUGGGUAAUGCCCUGGUUAGAAAUACGGAAGGCAGGAGCCUGUAUGGUUUUGCUCUGCUGUGAUGGGAACCUCUCAAGCAGUGCUCAGGCACUGUGCACUGCUGUCUGCAGCACUGGGAACUCUUAUGCUUAAGGAAGAGGGCUGUUCUCAUGGGGUUAUGGUUAUCUGAGCCUGACCCUGCAGGGAGAACAGUACUGACAGUAACUUCAAAACAGAUCCUCUCCAGUCCAGCUCUUAUAUUGCUUCUCAAGCACCUGUGAGGGGCGGAAUAAAAAAUGCUCAGCUGGUCUAACUAUAGGUAUU
This is a long non-coding RNA of Anser cygnoides (Swan goose), 1840 nucleotides long. Lineage: Eukaryota; Metazoa; Chordata; Aves; Anseriformes; Anatidae. The record is from Ensembl.